Molecule: ribosomal RNA, 466 nt
Filed under: uncultured bacterium
Lineage: Bacteria
Description: partial 16S ribosomal RNA
Rfam family: Bacterial small subunit ribosomal RNA
Source: RNAcentral
GAUGAACGCUGGCGGCGUGCUUAACACAUGCAAGUCGAACGGAAAGGCUCCUGCUUGCAGGGGUACUCGAGUGGCGAACGGGUGAGUAACACGUGGGUGAUCUGCCCAGCACUUCGGGAUAAGCCUGGGAAACUGGGUCUAAUACCGGAUAGGACGAUGGUUUGGAUGCCAUUGUGGAAAGUUUUUUCGGUGUGGGAUGAGCUCGCGGCCUAUCAGCUUGUUGGUGGGGUAAUGGCCUACCAAGGCGUCGACGGGUAGCCGGCCUGAGAGGGUGUACGGCCACAUUGGGACUGAGAUACGGCCCAGACUCCUACGGGAGGCAGCAGUGGGGAAUAUUGCACAAUGGGCGGAAGCCUGAUGCAGCGACGCCGCGUGGGGGAUGACGGCCUUCGGGUUGUAAACUCCUUUCGCUAGGGACGAAGCGCAAGUGACGGUACCUGGAGAAGAAGCACCGGCUAACUACGUG